AAUUCGCCCUUAGAGUUUGAUCCUGGCUCAGAUUGAACGCUGGCGGCAUGCCUUACACAUGCAAGUCGAACGGUAACGCGGGGCAGCCUGGCGACGAGUGGCGAACGGGUGAGUAAUAUAUCGGAACGUGCCCAGUCGUGGGGGAUAACUGCUCGAAAGAGCAGCUAAUACCGCAUACGACCUGAGGGUGAAAGCGGGGGAUCUUCGGACCUCGCGCGAUUGGAGCGGCCGAUAUCAGAUUAGGUAGUUGGUGGGGUAAAGGCCUACCAAGCCGACGAUCUGUAGCUGGUCUGAGAGGACGACCAGCCACACUGGGACUGAGACACGGCCCAGACUCCUACGGGAGGCAGCAGUGGGGAAUUUUGGACAAUGGGGGCAACCCUGAUCCAGCCAUGCCGCGUGCGGGAAGAAGGCCUUCGGGUUGUAAACCCCUUUUGUCAGGGAAGAAAUCCU
Molecule: ribosomal RNA, 453 nt
Filed under: uncultured bacterium
Lineage: Bacteria
Description: bacterial SSU rRNA
Rfam family: Bacterial small subunit ribosomal RNA
Source: RNAcentral